GAUUUAACAGUCUAACUGGAGGAUCCAUGUGAAAACACUAACCAAGGCUCUACAACAAUGAGAAGAAUUCACAAAGCAGAGCGAAACGACCAGACUGUCGAUCAACACCACUCUCAGGUGGCAACUCACGUUUUCUAUCUUUUAACUUUUGAUUAUUUCUCUUUCGAUUCGUCUAGCUUAAU
This 182-nucleotide small RNA is filed under the name Arabidopsis thaliana (thale cress). RNAcentral describes it as "ATSL162180". Lineage: Eukaryota; Viridiplantae; Streptophyta; Magnoliopsida; Brassicales; Brassicaceae. The record is from RNAcentral.